Molecule: ribosomal RNA, 303 nt
Filed under: uncultured bacterium
Lineage: Bacteria
Description: partial 16S ribosomal RNA
Rfam family: Bacterial small subunit ribosomal RNA
Source: RNAcentral
AGCAGUCGCCGCGGGAAUACGGAGGGUGCAAGCGUUAUCCGGAUUUAUUGGGUUUAAAGGGUCCGUAGGCGGAUCUGUAAGUCAGUGGUGAAAUCUCACAGCUUAACUGUGAAACGGCCAUUGAUACUGCAGGUCUUGAGUAAAUUUGAAGUGGCUGGAAUAAGUAGUGUAGCGGUGAAAUGCAUAGAUAUUACUUAGAACACCAAUUGCGAAGGCAGGUCACUAAGAUUUAACUGACGCUGAUGGACGAAAGCGUGGGGAGCGAACAGGAUUAGAUACCCGAGUAGUCCCUGUCUCUUAUAC